RNAcentral lists this ribosomal RNA (253 nucleotides) under uncultured bacterium. RNAcentral's name for it is "partial 16S ribosomal RNA". It matches the Rfam family "Bacterial small subunit ribosomal RNA", at positions 524 to 776 of the family's 1533-position model. The record is from RNAcentral.
GACGAACCGUGCGAACGUUGUUCGGAAUCACUGGGCUUAAAGGGCGCGUAGGCGGCCUGCAUGGUCGGGGGUGAAAUCCCACAGCUUAACUGUGGAAGUGCCUUCGAUACCGGCGGGCUCGAGGAAGGUAGGGGUGCGCGGAACUUCUGGUGGAGCGGUGAAAUGCGUUGAUAUCAGAAGGAACGCCGGCGGCGAAAGCGGCGCACUGGACCUUUUCUGACGCUGAGGCGCGAAAGCCAGGGGAGCAAACGGG